Molecule: long non-coding RNA, 6004 nt
Organism: Nycticebus coucang (slow loris)
Lineage: Eukaryota; Metazoa; Chordata; Mammalia; Primates; Lorisidae
Exons: 3
Source: RefSeq, a predicted model, not a curated record
CAGGCUGCUGUGACUCUAGGGCACCCAGGCCUGGGGACAAGUGCUAAGUCGGGUGUCAGCCACUGCAAUUGGGAGCAGAUCAUCCAUCUGGCUUGGAGGCUCUAGGGAAAAUUCGGAGGAGGAUGUCACCCAGGCUGGAGAGAGAGCUGUUGACAGUAAAGUGGGGGACCGCCCCCCAAGGGUACAGGGCAGGACUUUGGAACCCAACAGGUUGGCUCAAAUCAGCUGUGCCACUUGCUAGUCGCAUGACCUGAUCCCUCAGGGGCUCCAUUUCCUCAUCUGUAGAAUGGGAGUAAUAACAGGAGCAGUGCCUGCUUUCCAGAAGGAGAUGAGAAUAUUGAGGGUCUGAGAGGCAAAGCAACUAAAUGGAGAUGGCACCCGUAGGAAGUACGUCGAUGGAGAAGUCCUCUCCCCGCUGCCCGCGCUGUUCCCUGUUUUGUUUCUCAGUUCUUCUAUUGAAGACAGGCCCCAUGUUAAACUGAAACCUGGAGCGUUUCCCUUCCCCUCGAGACCCUGCCUGAGUAACGCCGUCACUGGUCAGAGGUUUCCUUGGAUGAGGCACUCCUGCGUGCACUUUGCAGAGUACUGCAUAGCUCCAGCUGCUCUGAACCACAACAAGGGCAAGUUAGAAAGUUAAGGCUGUCUAGCGUGACGUCUAGAGAGCCUUGGUGCAGGUGUGUCGCACAACUCCGUGGGCCCCGUUCACAUCCCAGUCUAAGAGGAUGGCGCCCGAUUGAAGGACCCAGCUGUGGAGUUGGACCCGAGUUGUACUCUCGACUCCCAUUUUCUGACUGUGUGACCUUGGAGAAGUUGCUUGUCAUCUCUGAGCCUUGGUUUACUCAUCUGUAAAAUGAAGCUAUUGAUAGAAACACAACACUGUGUUUUUGUAAACAUUCAGCGAGACCAUCCACGCGGAGCAGUUCCUGGCAUGCUGUAAACAUGAACCACCCAGUCAUCACCGGAUGUACAAUAAGCACUGCUGUCUGUGAUGGGAUCUGUGGGUGCCUGAUCCUGCCCGUGUGUGUGUGUCUAGUGGGAAGACUUCCCAGAAGAGGGGAAGGGUUAUAGACGUUGGUGUUGGGUUAUAAAGGAAAAAGUAGGGAAGGGCAUUCCAGGCAGAGGGAAGGGCAUGUGGAAAGGCCAGUGCUUUGGGUAGGGGAAGGAACCCUGACAAGGGUGGCUGGGAGGAGUUCUCCAGCCCCUGGGGGGCCUUAUUGGGGAUGGGCCUGAGCCUCCCUGCCCUUCUGGUUAUGGCCCCCAAGGCUGUAGCCAGGCUGGGUCCACAUAUUGUGUCUGGGUGGGAGGAGGGUAACCCAGCUUGGUCUCUGCAAUGAGCAGAAGUUUCAGCCUUUCACCCUCUGCCCCUGCUGUUUCCGGGCCUUCGCUUCCUUCCCUUACAUAGACCACAAAGUUGUUUCAGAGGAAGCCACUACUUAUUUUAGCAGUGAUCCCUGGUCACCCCCACCCACAGCUGCCCCUUCCUCCAGCCCCCGUAAGAGGCACUAAGACCCUUUCGGAGCCACAGCCCACAGCACUCAUGGGUGAGGACCAGUCCCUGUCCCUGGCCAGCCCUCGGCCCCACUUCCUUGUAGCUGAAUGAGGAGUGCUAGUCUCGGAGCUGGGAGACUGGAUUCGAGCCCAGCUCUGACAUUACCUCACUGUACGCUCUCCUACAAGCUCCUGCUCCCUUCCAGGCCCCAUGUCCCCAUUAGCGCUAGGGGGCCUGGCACUGGGCAGCUCGGGCCCUUCAUAGCACAGGUCUUCUGUGUUCAUUCUAAACCCCAUGGAUAACGUUUGGAUAGCAGCUGGUGCAUUCCUAAUGCUUCCUAGUGCCAGGCAUUGCUCUGUGUCCGGAGGUCUAAACAUGCGAACUCAUCACUGAGCCCUCCCAGCAACAUGGUGAGCUGGGGCUAUUAUAACCUCAUGUUCCAGAUGAGGAAACUGAGGCACCCAAUCCAUACCAGGCUCUGUUUGGGCACUGGAGAUGCAGUUGUGACACUGAUGUGGUCUUUGUUCUUGUGGUGCCCAGGGCUGGUGGGGGACAGAGGUGUCAGCACCUCCAUUAUUAUAACACCAGAUGGCUACUGGCAAAUAUAAUGUUGGGGGAGUGGGGGUCAAGGGAAGCCCCCAGGCACCAGAGGGGAGGAAGCGAUUCCUUUUGACCAGAAGGCAUGGAGCAUGGGAUAAUGUUUGAGAGGUGCCUUAACAAAUUCCUAAAGGAAAUAUCCAGAUUGGUCACAGUGGAAGGGCAUUCUAGGUGGAGGGAACAGCAUGUGCAAAGUCAAAGAGGCAGGAAAGAGGGUGUUUGUGGGAAAGAAAAAGAACCAGGAGUUUGUGAACCAUGGCAUCGAAAGGACCCAUAUUCAUUCAUUCAUUCCUUUAUUCCUUUAUGCACAUGGUGUUCACUUGUCUGUCCACCCUCAUGUCCAUCCAUGAGUCUGUGCAUUCAACUUACUUUGGUCUGAUUCUACUGUUACCCUGCCCAUGUCCCCUCUGUCCACCUCUGAGUCCCCUGUCUGCCAAGGACUGCCACCACUGCAGCUUCCCACCCCCAGACCUCAGCCUGGGUUUCCUCUAGGACCACACAAGCUCAUUCAACUUCACACAGAGCAACCUAGAAAUGUCAGGGCUGCAAAUGUCCCCAGGGGAAGCCCCUACCCAACGAGGGAGGGUGGACGGUGGGACUAAGCCCCAGGUGCCCACUAAGGAGCCUGCUCACCAGCACACCCGUUGGUGGCUUCCCCUCUUCCUGGUUGCACUGUCCCCACUCUUCUCUCCUUCCUGAGAUUGUCACUUCCCAAAGAAGUCACUUAUACCUGGUGUCCACCCCAUCUCUCCUCCUGUUCAUCUGUUCAUGCCUUCGUCCAGAUGGUAAUCACUCACAGGGCUCACUCUGCUAGAUCCUGUGCUUGGGACAGAGAAGUGGAGAAGCAGUGGGCACAGCCUUGUCCUCAAGGACCCACGGCUUGUGUGGCUGGACGGGGGCCCCAAGAGCCCUGCAGAGCUGCGUGCUCACUCUGCCCUCCGCCAGGUGAGCUGGGGCAGGAGGGUAGGUGCUGAGCUGGGCCACUUCCUCUUCAAGUUGCACUUUCUCCAUCCUUGACUCUCUCCAGCAUGUAAUUCUCCAAGGAAGGUUCCAGCAGCGUGUAGCAUGUCCAGCAGGAAGGAGGAAGAACAGGAGCGUCCAUGUGCACUCACUACACCUGAGGAGCUUUCCGUGUAUCAAAGCCUUUCAUCUUCCCAACAGCCCUACAAGGUGAACACUCUUAAUAUGAACCCCAUUGAGCCUUGUAGAGAAACUGAGCCACCAAGAGGUUCACCCAAGGUAGUAUAGUUAGAAGAGGCAUAGCUGAGAUUCGAACCCAGGCAAUCUGAGCUCAGAGCAUAUGGUUUAACCUCUGUGGUUCACCGUUUAGAGCAGCGGUUCUCAACCUGUGGGUCGCAACCCCUUUGGGGGUCUCCUGUAUAUCACAUAUUUACAUCACAAUUCAUAACAAUAGCAAAAUUACAAUUAUGAAGUAGCAACGAAAAUAAUUUUAUGGUUGGGGGUCACCACAAUAUGAGGAAUUAUACUAAAGGGUCGCGGCAUUAGGAAGGUUGAGAACCACUGGUUUAGAGAAAGAUGGAGGGAAGAAACAAAGUUGGUUUGAAAAAAGGAUUCAAACCCACAUAAGGGUCUGGGAGAAGGCAGAUCAGCAUAGAAAAACAUGCCUGAACUCACACUUCCAUACUGGUGUGCUCUAACACACCCAAAUUCACAUAUAUGCAUGCCCAGUACACACGGGAUUUUUUCAUAUACCCACGCACAUAUCUGGGCAUCCACAAGCUGCCCCCUUACAUGCUUGCAUGUGUAGACAGGCAUUAACACGCAUGCAUGACCCCAGACAGCACACGCGUGCACAUAACACGUUUGCAGUCACGCGUGUCUCGCUGCCCAAGGGCACACACAUGGGCACUGGCAUCUGUUUGUCCUUAUAUGCAUUAGCACACACAAAUACAAAUUAGUGGCCGGUUUGCAUUCUUUGCUUAAAGAAAACUGGUGACUGUAUUAAAAAUGUAGGACACAUCAGCCAAAUAAUUAAAGUGAGGAGCGAGGCAAUGGGACUUCUCGCCACUCUCUCGGGGCCGCCUGUGCCGGGCUGUGCUCUAUGUGGCUUCCUCCUAUAUAUUUGAGGAAGAGGCACUUUAUUACAGUAAUUUAUCACCCCCAUAAAUGUGGCUCCUCGGUAACGCAGAAUAAUUUGGGAAGAAAUAUGUUUUAAAAAUUAAAAAUGCAGUCGGCAUGCGCCCCGUCAGGUCUGCAGGGAGACAUCGCUGCAACUCCGGUAACUGCCUGUGUAGCUCUAAUACCUACAACUUCCAUUAUUUAAAGUGUGAUUAUAUUUUUCCUGCUUGGAGCUUUGUCAGCUAUAAAUAAAAGAUAAGGGUGAAUUGUUGCGGGCCCUAGUAAGCACUUCCAUUAUUGGUACUUAAGGGGGCUUGGGGAUGGAGGGAAUGGGCCAGGGUGGGGAAGGAAAGGGAGGCCGUUUGGGGGUACUGCUGGGCUUGGAAGCUGAGCUGGUGGUGCAGGUGGACCCAGUCCUUUUUCUGGUUACAUCUCAGGGAGACAUGGGCCCAUGAACUUCAUCUCUAUGUACCCCACAGACCACAGUGAGAACACCCAUGGAGGUUUUUGCCUGAAACAUCUUCCUACACGCCUCACGUUCUCCUGGUUUCCCCAGGGACUGGAGACACUGAGGGAAGAAGGCCCCAUACGAGAAGGAGAGUCAUUCUCUCGAAAAUGUUUUUUUCUACGACCAGGAGUUGUUUCAAAGUGAGUCCAGUGUGGCCGGCUGAGAAAGGAGGUUCGCAAGAGAUGUGGGGGUAGGGAGGCUCUUUGCUUAGCCCAAAGUAGGUCGUUCCUGAGUCAGAGGGAUAUUCUAAUUAAACAGAGAGUAACCGGCAAGGAAAGGACAUUCCUUUGAGAACAAUCAGUUUGGAAAACAAAUUUGUUUUGUCAUACGGAGAAAAAGAACAAAACAGAACUGAAUGACGAAAGCCUGAAAAGAAUCUCUUUGCCCCCAACUCUCGGUCUUGCACAUUUCUAUACAUCUGAAAGCUUGGAUUGGCAUUCUGGCUCUGCCAGGCCAUGGGCGUGUGACCGUGGGCAAGGAGGUAUUUUCACUUCUUUGAAAACGAAAUGCUUCUCUGUAAUUUGGAGGAUUACAGGGGCUUUUUUCAGGGUUAUGGUGGCAAUUAAAUAAGGUAACACACAUGAGAGUGUUAGGCCUGGCUUGUCCCACACUCUAAGUGCCCCAAAAUGUUGAUGAAAUCAAAUCAGAGAUCUGGGGCAGAUGCGAUGGCUCACGCCUGUAAUCCUGACACUGGGAAGCCGAGGCAGGGGGAUCGCCUGAGCUCAGGAGUUUGAGACUUGCCUGAGCAAGAGCAAGACCCCGUCUCUACUAAAAAUAAAAAAUUAGCCAGGCUGUGUGGCGGGUGUCUGUAGUCCCAGCUACUAAGGAGACUGAGGCAGGAGGAUCGCUGGAACCCAAGAGUUUGAGGUUGCUGUGAGUUAUGAUGCCACUGCACUCUAGCCUGGGAGCCUAUCUCAAAAACAAAUAAAUAAAUACCAGAGGUCCAGUAAUUGUGCCCCUUGGAAUGGACCCAAAUGACUUGAAAACUUCUGUCCAUACAAAAGUCUACACAUAAAUGUUUGAAGUAGCUUUAUUGAUGACUGGCAAAAUGUAGAAGCAGCCAAGACAUCCUUCAGUGGGGGACGGGAUAAACAAACCAGGGUGCCUCCAGACAAUGGACUGUUACUCCGUGAUAAAAGGAAACUAGCUAUAGGAAUGAGGAGUUACUGUUUGGUGGGUAUGGAAUUUCAGCUUGGGGGAUGGAUGGUGGUGUUGGCUCCACAAUAAUGUAAAUGUACUUGAUGCCACCGAUCUGUGCACUUGAAAGUGGUUAAAAUGGAAAAUUUUAUGUUAUGUAGACGUAUGUUACCACAAUAAAAAAAGAAGUGAUC